UCAGUCUGCAUUCAUAUCUCUGCCUCUCUUCUGGAGACAGAGGACAGAGCGGAUAAUAAUCUGUUGAGAAGAAACAGGAAUAUUUGGGAAAAAUGGUCAGUUUCUGCCAAAUACGUUUAGCAGUGUUUCAAAACUCCAUGCAACAAUGGGACUUCCAAACAGAAAACAAAAGCUUGAAUACCUGUCUGAACUUCCACAAGAUUUUGAGGAUUUGGAAUAAAAUUACGGAUUCAUGCCUGAGUCAUUUUUUAUUUUUCACAGAAGAUAACCCCAGGUCUUGGAAAAGUUAUAGAUGGCCUGGUAUGCACUGCACUGGAAUGACCUUGAGAAUCUCUUGGCUCUUCCCUUCUCAACAAACAUAG
Molecule: long non-coding RNA, 362 nt
Filed under: Numida meleagris (helmeted guineafowl)
Lineage: Eukaryota; Metazoa; Chordata; Aves; Galliformes; Numididae
Description: lncRNA (ENSNMEG00000012429.1)
Source: RNAcentral